RNAcentral lists this ribosomal RNA (1726 nucleotides) under Campylobacter upsaliensis. RNAcentral's name for it is "partial 23S ribosomal RNA". It matches the Rfam family "Bacterial large subunit ribosomal RNA", at positions 1207 to 2925 of the family's 2925-position model. The record is from RNAcentral. Lineage: Bacteria; Pseudomonadati; Campylobacterota; Epsilonproteobacteria; Campylobacterales; Campylobacteraceae.
CUUGAUUUAUCAAGCGGUAGGAGAGCGUUCUAUUUGCGUCGAAGGUAUACCGACAAGGAGUGCUGGAGCGAAUAGAAGUGAGCAUGCAGGCAUGAGUAGCGAUAAUUAAUGUGAGAAUCAUUAACGCCGUAAACCCAAGGUUUCCUACGCGAUGCUCGUCAUCGUAGGGUUAGUCGGGUCCUAAGCUGAGUCCGAAAGGGGUAAGCGAUGGCAAAUAGGUUAAUAUUCCUAUACCAACAUUAGUGUGCGAUGGAAGGACGCUUAGGGCUAAGGGGGCUAGCGGAUGGAAGUGCUAGUCUAAGGUCGUAGGAGGUUAUACAGGCAAAUCCGUAUAACAAUACUCCGAGAACUGAAAGGCUUUUUGAAGUCUUCGGAUGGAAAGAAGAACCCCUGAUGCCGUCGAGCCAAGAAAAGUUUCUAAGUUUAGCUAAUGUUGCCCGUACCGUAAACCGACACAGGUGGGUGGGAUGAGUAUUCUAAGGCGCGUGGAAGAACUCUCUUUAAGGAACUCUGCAAAAUAGCACCGUAUCUUCGGUAUAAGGUGUGCCUCCCUUUGUAUUAGAAUUCACUUCGAAAGCAAAGAAGGUUACAACAAAGAGUCCCUCCCGACUGUUUACCAAAAACACAGCACUCUGCUAACUCGUAAGAGGAUGUAUAGGGUGUGACGCCUGCCCGGUGCUCGAAGGUUAAUUGAUGGGGUUAGCAUUAGCGAAGCUCUUGAUCGAAGCCCGAGUAAACGGCGGCCGUAACUAUAACGGUCCUAAGGUAGCGAAAUUCCUUGUCGGUUAAAUACCGACCUGCAUGAAUGGCGUAACGAGAUGGGAGCUGUCUCAAAGAGGGAUCCAGUGAAAUUGUAGUGGAGGUGAAAAUUCCUCCUACCCGCGGCAAGACGGAAAGACCCCGUGGACCUUUACUACAGCUUGACACUGCUAUUUGGAUAAGAAUGUGCAGGAUAGGUGGGAGGCUUUGAGUAUAUGACGCCAGUUGUAUAUGAGCCAUUGUUGAGAUACCACUCUUUCUUAUUUGGGUAGCUAACCAGCUUGAGUUAUCCUCAAGUGGGACAAUGUCUGGUGGGUAGUUUGACUGGGGCGGUCGCCUCCCAAAUAAUAACGGAGGCUUACAAAGGUUGGCUCAUAGCGGUUGGAAAUCGCUAGUAGAGUAUAAAGGUAUAAGCCAGCUUAACUGCAAGACAUACAAGUCAAGCAGAGACGAAAGUCGGUCUUAGUGAUCCGGUGGUUCUGUGUGGAAGGGCCAUCGCUCAAAGGAUAAAAGGUACCCCGGGGAUAACAGGCUGAUCUCCCCCAAGAGCUCACAUCGACGGGGAGGUUUGGCACCUCGAUGUCGGCUCAUCGCAUCCUGGGGCUGGAGCAGGUCCCAAGGGUAUGGCUGUUCGCCAUUUAAAGCGGUACGCGAGCUGGGUUCAGAACGUCGUGAGACAGUUCGGUCCCUAUCUGCCGUGGGCGUAAGAAGAUUGAAGAGAUUUGACCCUAGUACGAGAGGACCGGGUUGAACAAACCACUGGUGUAGCUGUUGUUCUGCCAAGAGCAUCGCAGCGUAGCUAAGUUUGGAAAGGAUAAACGCUGAAAGCAUCUAAGCGUGAAGCCAACUCUAAGAUGAAUCUUCUCUAAGCUCUCUAGAAGACUACUAGUUUGAUAGGCUGGGUGUGUAAUGGAUGAAAGUCCUUUAGCUGACCAGUACUAAUAGAGCGUUUGGCUUAUCUUAUAAA